AACACUGACCACACCUCACAGAGGUUAUAAGCUGAGGCACCAGAACUGAAGAAACCUCUUGGAUGACAGAUGGAUCGUUUUCUGAAAUGAGAAACCAAAGCAGCAGUCCACAAAGGAAAGGAAACGCCAGCGAGAAAACUGUCAAUCAACUUCAUCCACUGUGUCCAGAUGAGCUCUGCUGUCAUUUUAUUUCAGUUCAUUCUAUUGCAGUCGAGACAGCUUCAGUGGGAAAUUCAGGAUGAACAGGAAGAUUGUCAGUGACAGGGUCAACACAGACAAACAAAUAAUGACCAGAAAAGGAGAAAUUAUUUCAUGGGUUGAGGACUUCAAGUACCCGGCAUCGUGAAUCAGCUCUCCAAAGCAAGACAUCAAGGUCAGAACAGCAUUAGCAUGGAAAGUAUGUCACAAAUUAAAAAGCAUCUGGAAAACAAACAUUGAUGGAGACAGCAAAAUCUGUGUCUUCAUUGCAUCAGUAAAGUCAGUUCUACUGUAUGAAUGACACUUACAAAUGCUGAGGACAAAUCACUCGAUGGUACAUACACAAGAUUGUCAUGUAUGGCCCUGAACAUCUCCUGGAGAGACCACAUGACAAACAGCGAGCUGUAUGGAAGACUGCAAAAAUUCAAGAUGAGAAGGCUUCCAAACUGGUCUUAUGGGAGUCUACCAGUGGAAAAACUGACAGAGGAAGACGGCCUAUAAAUUACACAGACUGCCUACGUAAAGACACUGGUGUCCUGACGACAAAUGAGAUCAAGUCAUUAAUGACAGACCGCAUAGUCCGGGGAGGGAUUGUUAAUUCUGCUCGGACUAACGUCCAUCCAAACUGAAGUUAAUUUAGGAUUUUUUGUUGUCAGUACCAGCUAAUUAUUCCUGCUCUUUUACAGUUUCUAAAAACUUCUACAGUUUUUAAAACAACUGCAUUAACAUGGUGUGUUCUCUAAGCAAAGUAUUGUUUGGGUAUUUUGCUUCACUCAUUGUUUAUUUAGCAAGUCAGUGCUGUGAUAUUCUAUAUGCAAUACAAUUAAUUAACUAAAAUUUUGUGAGCAAAGAUUAUGUACAAGUUCCCUGAUUUUUUGGCGUAAAACUUUUAAAAACUUUUAUACACAUGUUGAC
Long non-coding RNA from Amphiprion ocellaris (clown anemonefish), 1113 nucleotides. The record is from Ensembl. NCBI's taxonomy places the organism in Eukaryota, Metazoa, Chordata, Actinopteri, Pomacentridae.